AGAGUUUGAUCCUGGCUCAGGACGAACGCUGGCGGCGUGCUUAACACAUGCAAGUCGAACGAUGAUGCCCUGCUUGCAGGGUGGAUUAGUGGCGAACGGGUGAGUAACACGUGGGUGAUCUGCCCCGCACUUCGGGAUAAGCCUGGGAAACUGGGUCUAAUACCGGAUACGACCCCCUGGUAGGUCAGGGGGUGGAAAGAUUUAUCGGUGUGGGAUGAGCCUGCGGCCUAUCAGCUUGUUGGUGGGGUAAUGGCCUACCAAGGCGUCGACGGGUAGCCGGCCUGAGAGGGUGAUCGGCCACAUUGGGACUGAGACACGGCCCAGACUCCUACGGGAGGCAGCAGUGGGGAAUAUUGCACAAUGGGCGCAAGCCUGAUGCAGCGACGCCGCGUGGGGGAUGACGGCCUUCGGGUUGUAAACUCCUUUCGACAGGGACGAAGCGUUAUAGUGACGGUACCUGUAGAAGAAGCACCGGCUAACUACGUGCCAGCAGCCGCGGUAAUACGUAGGGUGCGAGCGUUGUCCGGAAUUACUGGGCGUAAAGAGCUCGUAGGUGGUUUGUCGCGUCGUCUGUGAAAUCCCGGGGCUUAACCUCGGGCGUGCAGGCGAUACGGGCAUAACUUGAGUGCUGUAGGGGAGACUGGAAUUCCUGGUGUAGCGGUGAAAUGCGCAGAUAUCAGGAGGAACACCAAUGGCGAAGGCAGGUCUCUGGGCAGUAACUGACGCUGAGGAGCGAAAGCAUGGGUAGCGAACAGGAUUAGAUACCCUGGUAGUCC
RNAcentral lists this ribosomal RNA (776 nucleotides) under uncultured bacterium. Its description in RNAcentral is "bacterial SSU rRNA". It matches the Rfam family "Bacterial small subunit ribosomal RNA", at positions 8 to 796 of the family's 1533-position model. The record is from RNAcentral.